Molecule: ribosomal RNA, 384 nt
Filed under: uncultured bacterium
Lineage: Bacteria
Description: bacterial SSU rRNA
Rfam family: Bacterial small subunit ribosomal RNA
Source: RNAcentral
AUUGAACGCUGGCGGCAUGUCUUACACAUGCAAGUCGAAUGGUAGCGGGCCUUCGGGUGCCGACGAGUGGCGAACGGGUGAGUAAUGUAUCGGAACGUACCAUUGAGUGGGGGAUAACGUAGCGAAAGUUACGCUAAUACCGCAUAUUCCCUCCGGAGGAGAGCAGGGGACCGCAAGGCCUUGCGCUCUUUGAGCAGCCGAUAUCAGAUUAGCUAGUUGGUGAGGUAAAGGCUCACCAAGGCGACGAUCUGUAGCGGGUCUGAGAGGAUGAUCCGCCACACUGGAACUGAGACACGGUCCAGACUCCUACGGGAGGCAGCAGUGGGGAAUUUUGGACAAUGGGGGCAACCCUGAUCCAGCCAUGCCGCGUGAGUGAAGAAGGCC